Molecule: small nuclear RNA, 306 nt
Filed under: Neogale vison (American mink)
Lineage: Eukaryota; Metazoa; Chordata; Mammalia; Carnivora; Mustelidae
Description: Neovison vison (American mink) 7SK RNA (ENSNVIG00000020467.1)
Rfam family: 7SK RNA
About the family: 7SK was discovered as an abundant small nuclear RNA in the mid-70s but a possible function has only recently been suggested. Two independent studies have found that 7SK RNA binds the CDK9/cyclin T complex (known as elongation factor P-TEFb).
Source: Rfam by way of RNAcentral
GGAUAUGAGGGUAAUCUGGCUGUCUCCCCGGUGAUGGAGAGGGUUGAUUUGCUGAUCUGACUGGCUAAGCCCUCACCCCUACCUGUGUGUCCGUCCGGAAGUUGUGCAGUUGGUUGAAGAGGAUGACCCUCCCUGAUAACAGAGGACUCUUCCUGGGUCAAGGCUAUAGGAGUAGCUACUCCCUCCCCUGCUGGAACCUCUAAACAAGUUGUCAAGGUCCAUUAGUAGGAGAAUUAGGGUGGUCAAACUUCAAGGAUUCCAGACCCUUCCAAAUGAGGCACUGCACGGGGCAGUCUGCUUUUCUUU